UGGGGGAUCGUCUAAUGGUAGGACUGCAGAUUCUGGUUCUGCGUAUCGUGGUUCGAGUCCACGUCCCCCAGCCA
This 74-nucleotide transfer RNA is filed under the name Alphaproteobacteria bacterium. RNAcentral describes it as "tRNA-Gln". It matches the Rfam family "tRNA". Rfam says of the family: Transfer RNA (tRNA) molecules are approximately 80 nucleotides in length. Their secondary structure includes four short double-helical elements and three loops (D, anti-codon, and T loops). The record is from RNAcentral. Lineage: Bacteria; Pseudomonadati; Pseudomonadota; Alphaproteobacteria.